CAGGACGUAGUUAAAUAGUAAAACGUCUCCCUUACACUGAGAAAUCGCCCGUGCAAGUCGGAUCGUUCUGAA
This 72-nucleotide transfer RNA is filed under the name Gymnogeophagus balzanii. RNAcentral's name for it is "tRNA-Val". It matches the Rfam family "tRNA". Rfam says of the family: Transfer RNA (tRNA) molecules are approximately 80 nucleotides in length. Their secondary structure includes four short double-helical elements and three loops (D, anti-codon, and T loops). Lineage: Eukaryota; Metazoa; Chordata; Actinopteri; Cichliformes; Cichlidae. The record is from RNAcentral.